This 321-nucleotide ribosomal RNA is filed under the name Rhodotorula mucilaginosa. Its description in RNAcentral is "eukaryotic LSU rRNA". The stretch from base 263 to 321 matches the Rfam family "Eukaryotic large subunit ribosomal RNA", at positions 1 to 59 of the family's 3401-position model. Lineage: Eukaryota; Fungi; Basidiomycota; Microbotryomycetes; Sporidiobolales; Sporidiobolaceae. The record is from RNAcentral.
UUCCUUAUGGCAUUCGUGGAGCAUGCCUGUUUGAGUGUCAUGAAUACUUCAACCCUCCUCUUGCUUAAUGAAAGAAGAGGUGUUUGGUUUCUGAGCGCUGCUGGCCUUUGCGGUCUAGCUCGUUCGUAAUGCAUUAGCAUCCGCAAUCCAACUUCGGAUUGACUUGGCGUAAUAGACUAUUCCCUGAGGAAUUCUAGUCUUCGGACUAGAGCCGGGUUGGGUUAAAGGAAGCUUCUAAUCAGAAUGUCUACAUUUUAAGAUUAGAUCUCAAAUCAGGUAGGACUACCCGCUGAACUUAAGCAUAUCAAUAAGCGGAGGAAG